GGACGAUCAGCCACACUGGGACUGAGACACGGCCCAGACUCCUACGGGAGGCAGCAGUGGGGAAUCUUGCGCAAUGGGCGAAAGCCUGACGCAGCAACGCCGCGUGGGGAUGAAGGCUCUCGGGUUGUAAACCCCUUUCAGCAGGGACGAAUCAAGACGGUACCUGCAGAAGAAGCCCCGGCUAACUACGUGCCAGCAGCCGCGGUAACACGUAGGGGGCAAGCGUUGUCCGGAUUUAUUGGGCGUAAAGAGCUCGUAGGUGGCUGAGUAAGUCGGAUGUCAAAUCCCCAGGCUCAACCUGGGAUCCCAUCCGAUACUGCUCUGGCUAGAGUCCGGUAGGGGAGCGUGGAAUUCCUGGUGUAGCGGUGAAAUGCGCAGAUAUCAGGAGGAACACCAGCGGCGAAGGCGGCGGCUCUGGGCCGGUACUGACACUGAGGAGCGAAAGCGUGGGUAGCAAACAGGAUUAGAUACCUGGUAGUCCACGCCGUAAACGUUGGGC
Molecule: ribosomal RNA, 499 nt
Filed under: uncultured bacterium
Lineage: Bacteria
Description: bacterial SSU rRNA
Rfam family: Bacterial small subunit ribosomal RNA
Source: RNAcentral